Molecule: ribosomal RNA, 253 nt
Filed under: uncultured bacterium
Lineage: Bacteria
Description: partial 16S ribosomal RNA
Rfam family: Bacterial small subunit ribosomal RNA
Source: RNAcentral
UACGUAGGGUCCGGGCGUUGUCCGGAAUUACUGGGCGUAAAGAGCUCGUAGGUGGUUUGUCGCGUUGUUCGUGAAAACUCACAGCUCAACUGUGGGCGUGCGGGCGAUACGGGCAGACUUGAGUACUGCAGGGGAGACUGGAAUUCCUGGUGUAGCGGUGGAAUGCGCAGAUAUCAGGAGGAACACCGGUGGCGAAGGCGGGUCUCUGGGCAGCAACUGACGCUGAGGAGCGAAAGCGUGGGGAGCGAACAGG